Molecule: ribosomal RNA, 465 nt
Filed under: uncultured bacterium
Lineage: Bacteria
Description: partial 16S ribosomal RNA
Rfam family: Bacterial small subunit ribosomal RNA
Source: RNAcentral
GACGAACGCUGGCGGCGUGCUUAACACAUGCAAGUCGAACGGAAAGGCCCUGCUUGCAGGGUACUCGAGUGGCGAACGGGUGAGUAACACGUGGGUGAUCUGCCCUGCACUUCGGGAUAAGCCUGGGAAACUGAGUCUAAUACCGGAUAGGAGCCAUUUUUAGUGUGAUGGUUGGAAAGUUUUUUCGGUGUAGGAUGAGCUCGCGGCCUAUCAGCUUGUUGGUGGGGUAAUGGCCUACCAAGGCGGCGACGGGUAGCCGGCCUGAGAGGGUGGACGGCCACAUUGGGACUGAGAUACGGCCCAGACGCCUACGGGAGGCAGCAGUGGGGAAUAUUGCACAAUGGGCGCAAGCCUGAUGCAGCGACGCCGCGGGGGUGAUGACGGCCUUCGGGUUGUAAACUCCUUUCGCUAGGGACGAAGCUUUUUGUGACGGUACCUAGAGAAGAAGCACCGGCUAACUACGUG